This 165-nucleotide small RNA is filed under the name Streptomyces rimosus. RNAcentral's name for it is "c-di-AMP sequence". It matches the Rfam family "c-di-AMP riboswitch aptamer (ydaO/yuaA leader)". Rfam says of the family: This family represents a conserved RNA structure found upstream of the ydaO and yuaA genes in Bacillus subtilis and related genes in other bacteria. The record is from RNAcentral. Lineage: Bacteria; Bacillati; Actinomycetota; Actinomycetes; Kitasatosporales; Streptomycetaceae.
CCGGUCGAUGCGCCUGGAUCGGCAGGAGCGGAGGACCCGAGCACGACGGGACCGGCGGCCACCGCGGCCGCACGGGCCCUUGGGGUGAAGUCGCCACCGCGACCGGGCAUCUUCGCCUGCCCGAACCCGACAGGUACUCCUUCGUCGGCGGCUGACGAAGGGUUG